GCGGGUGUAGCUCAGUCGGUAGAGCAUCAGCCUUCCAAGCUGAGGGUCGCGGGUUCAAGUCUCGUCGCCCGCU
Molecule: transfer RNA, 73 nt
Filed under: Acidobacteriota bacterium
Lineage: Bacteria; Pseudomonadati; Acidobacteriota
Also listed under: 1 other name
Description: Acidobacteria bacterium (activated sludge metagenome) tRNA-Gly
Rfam family: tRNA
About the family: Transfer RNA (tRNA) molecules are approximately 80 nucleotides in length. Their secondary structure includes four short double-helical elements and three loops (D, anti-codon, and T loops).
Source: RNAcentral